RNAcentral lists this unclassified non-coding RNA (944 nucleotides) under Hevea brasiliensis (rubber tree). The record is from RNAcentral. Lineage: Eukaryota; Viridiplantae; Streptophyta; Magnoliopsida; Malpighiales; Euphorbiaceae.
UCUCCAUGUGCUUAACAUAUAUAUAAACACUCUUUACUAUGAUACAUACUAGUCAUCUUUCUGGUCCACAUAUAAAGCAUAUUGAAAUUCCAGUUGUAAUUAAAUAUGACAUCUCUUUUUGGGUUUUUGCCCUAGUUUUAUCAAUAUUCAAUGCAUAAAAAAAUAAAUAUAUAUAUAUAUAUAUGUAAAUUAGAAAUGGCAUGUGAAAACUAAGGAGUGAUACCACUUAGAAUCACAAUAAGAGAAAAAAAAAUGCAAGAAAUGUACUUUUGGGUAUAGGUGGUCCAUGGCAAAUCUUUAAUUCAGAUUUGUGUUGAUAUUUUGCAAGACAAAUAAUAUAUGCAGGAUUAAAGGGUAACAUCAUCAGUAACAUUUAAAUUAAUGUGCCUUUUUCAAUACGACCCUAUGUAAUAAACUUCCCCUAUAGUUAAGAAUUAAACCCAAUGUUAAUUAAUUUGGAAUUUGUGAAUUAUAUAUUUAAGUGUGCCAUUCUUCAAUCUAGGUUUCAUCGUACAAGCUCUUCAUAGAUUAAUAAUGGAAAUAGUGGUCCAUGACCGAGAUUAAUCGAUUUAAUUAAUAUAUGAACACAUCUGCAUUUCAGAUAUUUUUCACUUAAUAUAUACAAUAUAUCAUAAUUGUCAUAGUAUUCCUUAAUUAAUAACCAUAUUAUAUUUUUAAAGAAAUGAUAUAUUGUGUUAUAUUUUUUUUUCUUUUCUUUUCGUUACAUAUACAUUUAGAGGAAGAAGUGUAGAAAUUCUUUGUUUUUUUUAAAGCUUAAUUAAUUCAUGAAAAUAUAGUUUUUUUUAAUUUUUUCCUCAUGUAUUUGCUGGAAAUUUUCCUCUAGGAACUCUUCCUGUGUAUUUAGAAUUGUACGAGUUGGCUAAGACAAUACAAACACAUAUAGAAAGAGGGGCUUCAGCGAAAAGGAAGAAGAAGAAGAAGAA